RNAcentral lists this ribosomal RNA (537 nucleotides) under uncultured bacterium. RNAcentral describes it as "bacterial SSU rRNA". It matches the Rfam family "Bacterial small subunit ribosomal RNA", at positions 355 to 896 of the family's 1533-position model. The record is from RNAcentral.
UGGGGAAUCUUGCGCAAUGGGCGAAAGCCUGACGCAGCGACGCCGCGUGGGGGAUGAAGCAUUUCGGUGUGUAAACCCCUUUCGACUGGGACGAAUGCCUCGCAAGAGGAGUGACGGUACCAGUAGAAGAAGCCCCGGCUAACUACGUGCCAGCAGCCGCGGUAAGACGUAGGGGGCCAGCGUUGUUCGGAAUUACUGGGUGUAAAGGGUUCGCAGGCGGUGUGGCAAGUCGGGAGUGAAAUCUAUGGGCUUAACUCAUAGGCUGCUUCCGAAACUGCUGUGCUUGAGUGUGGGAGAGGCGCGUGGAAUUGCAGGUGUAGCGGUGAAAUGCGUAGAUAUCUGCAGGAACACCCGUGGCGAAAGCGGCGCGCUGGACCACAACUGACGCUGAGGAACGAAAGCUAGGGGAGCAAACAGGAUUAGAUACCCUGGUAGUCCUAGCCCUAAACGAUCAGGACUUGGGGUGCCACCCGUUCGGGUGUCGUCCCGGAGCUAACGCGUUAAGUCCUGCACCUGGGGAGUACGGUCGCAAGACUG